GAUAGCGCUGGAGAGGAUGGUUCCUGCGAGACACAAACUGUGUGUCCAGGAUGAAAAGGGAACGCGGUGCGGCUGGUACUGAUCAGCCAAUUCCGCGACUGCCCCCGCAACUGUAAGCGGUGAGCGGACCGGGUGAACCACUGGCAUGGAGUUUUGCGCUCCAGGUUGGGAAGGACCGGUUUCGCAGCGACCCGCAAGUCAGGAGACCUGCCAUCAUAUGAAAACUCGA
This 229-nucleotide non-coding RNA is filed under the name Roseobacter sp. SK209-2-6. RNAcentral also lists the same sequence under 1 other name. Lineage: Bacteria; Pseudomonadati; Pseudomonadota; Alphaproteobacteria; Rhodobacterales; Roseobacteraceae. The record is from RNAcentral.